RNAcentral lists this long non-coding RNA (567 nucleotides) under Oryza brachyantha (malo sina). RNAcentral describes it as "long non-coding RNA (OBRA_LNC000436)". Lineage: Eukaryota; Viridiplantae; Streptophyta; Magnoliopsida; Poales; Poaceae. The record is from RNAcentral.
CAGAUCGAUCACAAAUUCACAAUUCACAGAUUUAAAAGCAGAGUAGGCAGAGCAUAUAACCAAGGCUAACAACAAAUUCACGCAAAAUUUUCGUCGAAACCGUGCAAAUUAAAACUCAACCUUGUUGAUGAACGUAGUACAAGUUGACAAGCUCGGAUAGCUUGAGAUUCUUUCGACCGAACAAACCAAAAAACAGAACAGUUUGGUUGUCUGCUUCAAACAUGAUUAAGCCCAAUCGCCUCCCUAAUUAUUCUUCCUUUCUCGUUUCAUUUUCUAUCUAUCUCGAAUUCAUUCUCGAUUGUAAUGAGAAAAAAUCUGCGAGGAACAAACAAAUACAUCAGCUGCCAAGCCGGAGAGCAUCUCAGCGCAUCCGACGCUUCUGCACGGGCUUGCGGUCCUCGUCGUCGGAGCCGGAGCCGGACACCUCGCCGUCGUCGUCGUCGAAGUCCUCGAGAUCCUCGUCGUCGAAGUCGCCGUCGAACUCCCCGUCGCUCCCCAUGGCCUCGAACUCAUCAUCCUCAUCCUCCUCGUCCUCGCUCACCGCCUUCGCCUUCCGCGCGUACCCUN